Molecule: small RNA, 283 nt
Filed under: Arabidopsis thaliana (thale cress)
Lineage: Eukaryota; Viridiplantae; Streptophyta; Magnoliopsida; Brassicales; Brassicaceae
Description: ATSL046300
Source: RNAcentral
UUUUUGUUUUGUUUAGUGUUUAAGAUAAUAUAAUUGUAUUUUGAUUGUUAUAUCUACGAUCUCACCCGUCGUAUAUACCGUCUCGUAUUACUAUCGACACAAACUCGUCGUACCAUCUAAUCUCGUUCAGUGAUCUAAUGGAUUUCACCCGUGGUAUACCGUCUCGUAUUACUAUCAACCCAAACCCGUCUUACCAUCUAACUCCGUUCAGUGAAAUUAAACGGUGUUUUGUUAUUUGUUUUAAUAAUAUUUGAAUUUAAAAGAUGUAUAGUUCAAAUCAAAU